CCUAUGUGGAGAUAGAUUUGUAUGCUUUUAUAUACAUUUAUCUGCGAAAGAAAAUACACGUCGUGCUCAGUUGCUGAAGUGGCUCUCUUUCUAGUCCUUUAGAGCACACAUAACAAAAACAUGUUAAAGAAAUACCAAACAACAUUUUGCAGGGAUUUAGAGGUCAUUGGUGAAAAUGGAAGAAAGGACAUGGGUACAUCUAAUUUUAAGUGAAAUAACAAGAAUAGUUGAAUGAUUUACAACCAAGCAGCACUCAGAAAUAGUGAUGAAAAGUGAAACUAGAUUUUUGAAAGAUAGAACAUAGAAGAAAAAGGAAAAGGUAAUCUUCAUUGAAAUUAAAAGUAUUACUCAUAGUUAUCAAAGGUACCAGGAUUAUAAUUUAGUACGCCAGAAGCAAGUUUUGUUUCUACAUAAGACUCAUCAGUGAAGCUCAUAUCAAAAUAGUUAAAAAUCAAACAAAUACAAAGUUGAAGAGCAUUGAGGAUCCAAAAUUCCAAAAAGUUGGGCCAAAUACGACUAAGGUAAUUUAUGCCUGGGAUAAGAAAAUUCUAAGUUUUUCGAAAAAUUCAAAGUUUUGUAAACAGGAAAUUUAUAAAAAAAAAUUACAAAAUAAUUGAUAUUCAUGUCAACACCAACACUUUACUCUUUACAUAUGUAUGUAAAGAGUUAAUAAGCAAUUAAACAAUCCUGGUUGAAAUGAAAUAAUUUAAAAGAAAUGUUUUUCAAAGAAUAACUGCUCCAUCAUAUCGUGCAAUAUUUUAUGUAAAUAUCAUGUCAGAUAUCUUUUCAAUACAAGUAGCAAAUAUGGUAUACUAACUGUCAGUCAAAGAUUCUAUCAUUCAAGAUGAGUAAACCUUAAAAAUAUAUUGUUUCAGUGUUAUUGCACUUGUAACUAUGUCUACAUAAUACUUCUGCUGGCACACGAAUAAUGUAUAUACCACCACAUAUUUUGUAUCUACUGCAACACAUAGUAUAAUUAUGGCCACAUAAUAUAUAUAUACCGCAAUACAUAAUCAAUCACCACACUACAUAAGUCAUUCACCACAGUCUGUGUAUUCAUAACCACAAUAUUUUUGUCUAUCACCACACUGUGGUCUAUCACCACACUAUUGUCUAUCACGACACUAUGUCUGUCUAUCACCACACUAUGUUUGUCUGUCACCACGCUAUGUUUGUAUAUCGCCACACUAUGUUUGUCUAUCACCACAAUUUGUUUGUCUAUCACUUCAGUAUGUUUGUCUAUCACCACACUAUUGUCUAUCACUAUGCUUUGUUUACCUAUCACCACACUAUGUAUGUCUAUCACUUCAGUAUGUUUGUCUAUCACAACACUAUAUAUUUUAAUCAUCACUGUUUACAUAUUCACCAACACAUUCUUAUUACCAAUACUUGAUAUGAUGAAGCCUUGUUUGCUCUCACAUUGUCAUUUAAUAAAACAAAAAGGUAGAUCAUUUGAGUCAUGAUUCUGUGUAAAGUCAUUCCUAAAGAAAAAAAAAAUUUUAACUUUUCAUUUAAAUGAUUGAUCUCACAGAGGAAUUGUAUUUCUGCAUUACAAAUUUUACAAUUUGAUACAAUCUUGGGAUUAUGUUCUGUUUUUGCACUGAUGAAACACUCUUUAUUCUUAGAUGGAAAAUAAAUAACAACUGUUUGAGGCAUUGAAAUUCUGUAUUGUAUUGGACUAAUUAUAUAUUCAACUGAACCAUAUAAUAUUUUGUAGGUUAAACAAGAUUUAGUGCCGGCCAAACAAUUAAGAAAGAAUACGAACAAGAAUUCCUUACAGAACAGGGGAGACUAUUUUACUGUGCUUAGAUCUGUGUUUUUGUUAUAAUUAAUUAAUAUUGUAAUUUGUUCUUGGAUAAAAUAUCUGCAAUGUGGAGGACAACUGAACUGUGUUCUUAUAUAUUGAAGACGUGCAAUGAUUUAAAAUGCAUUUAAGAUGAACUUUUUACUACUCGGAAAAUGGUUAAAAUUAAAGAAACAAACA
Long non-coding RNA from Mytilus trossulus (common blue mussel), 1984 nucleotides. RefSeq lists it as uncharacterized. Lineage: Eukaryota; Metazoa; Mollusca; Bivalvia; Mytilida; Mytilidae. The record is from RefSeq and is a predicted model, not a curated record. The transcript has 3 exons.